GAUGAAGAACGUAGCGAAAUGCGAUAAGUAGUGUGAAUUGCAGAAUUCAGUGAAUCAUCGAAUCUUUGAACGCACAUUGCGCCCCUUGGUAUUCCAUGGGGCAUGCCUGUUCGAGCGUCAUUUGUACCUUCAAGCUUUGCUUGGUGUUGGGUGUUUGUCCCGAGGGACUCGCCUUAAAGUAAUUGGCAGCCAGUGUUUUGUUUUGAAGCGCAGCACAAGUCGCGAUUCAAGGCUACACGCCCGCUUCCACAAGCCUUUUUUCACUUUUGACCUCGGAUCAGGUAGGGAUACCCGCUGAACUUAAGCAUAUCAAUAAGCGGAGGA
This 324-nucleotide unclassified non-coding RNA is filed under the name soil metagenome. RNAcentral describes it as "partial contains 5.8S ribosomal RNA, internal transcribed spacer 2, and large subunit ribosomal RNA". The stretch from base 1 to 120 matches the Rfam family "5.8S ribosomal RNA", at positions 35 to 154 of the family's 154-position model. The record is from RNAcentral.